Molecule: ribosomal RNA, 468 nt
Filed under: uncultured bacterium
Lineage: Bacteria
Description: partial 16S ribosomal RNA
Rfam family: Bacterial small subunit ribosomal RNA
Source: RNAcentral
GACGAACGCUGGCGGCGUGCUUAACACAUGCAAGUCGAACGGAAAGGCCCUGCUUUUGUGGGGUGCUCGAGUGGCGAACGGGUGAGUAACACGUGAGUAACCUGCCCUUGACUUUGGGAUAACUUCAGGAAACUGGGGCUAAUACCGGAUAGGAGCUCCUGCUGCAUGGUGGGGGUUGGAAAGUUUCGGCGGUUGGGGAUGGACUCGCGGCUUAUCAGCUUGUUGGUGGGGUAGUGGCUUACCAAGGCUUUGACGGGUAGCCGGCCUGGGAGGGCGACCGGCCACAUUGGGACUGAGAUACGGCCCAGACUCCUACGGGAGGCAGCAGUGGGGAAUAUUGCACAAUGGGCGGAAGCCUGAUGCGGCAACGCCGCGUGCGGGAUGACGGCCUUCGGGUUGUAAACCGCUUUCGCCUGUGACGAAGCGUGAGUGACGGUAAUGGGUAAAGAAGCACCGGCUAACUACGUG